GGAUUAUAGAAAUACAAACUAGGAAUCCUGAGCUAUUCCUCGUCAACUAUAUUUUUUCCCUUUUUAGUCGAGAAUUCUGGUACAACGCUAGCUACGGAAUUAAAACAAUUAAAAAUCAUCAAUACAACACCAUUCAAUCUCACAUUAAAUAUUUCAAUUUUUACUCAAUAUUUACCUAAAUCCCAAUUUAGUCCCUGAACCGAGACUAACUUUUAUUCUCAAAACUAAUUUCAUAUUUUC
RNAcentral lists this long non-coding RNA (240 nucleotides) under Gossypium barbadense (sea-island cotton). RNAcentral describes it as "long non-coding RNA (GBAR_LNC019369)". Lineage: Eukaryota; Viridiplantae; Streptophyta; Magnoliopsida; Malvales; Malvaceae. The record is from RNAcentral.